GACGAACGCUGGCGGCGUGCUUAACACAUGCAAGUCGAACGGAAAGGCCCUGCUUUUGUGGGGUGCUCGAGUGGCGAACGGGUGAGUAACACGUGAGUAACCUGCCCUUGACUUUGGGAUAACUUCAGGAAACUGGGGCUAAUCCCGGAUAGGAGCUCCUGCUGCAUGGUGGGGGUUGGAAAGUUUCGGUGGUUGGGGAUGGACUCGCGGCUUAUCAGCUUGUUGGUGGGGUAGUGGCUUACCAAGGCUUUGACGGGUAGCCGGCCUGAGAGGGUGACCGGCCACAAUGGGACUGAGGUACGGCCCAGACUCCUACGUGAGGCAGCAGGGGGGAAUAUUGCACAAUGGGCGGAAGCCUGAUGCAGCAACGCCGCGUGCGGGAUGACGGCCUUCGGGUUGUAAACCGCUUUCGCCUGUGACGAAGCGGGAGUGACGGUAAUGAGUAAAGAAGCACCGGCUAACUACGUG
RNAcentral lists this ribosomal RNA (468 nucleotides) under uncultured bacterium. RNAcentral's name for it is "partial 16S ribosomal RNA". It matches the Rfam family "Bacterial small subunit ribosomal RNA", at positions 28 to 507 of the family's 1533-position model. The record is from RNAcentral.